RNAcentral lists this unclassified non-coding RNA (27 nucleotides) under Mus musculus (house mouse). RNAcentral's name for it is "oocyte_clustered_small_RNA7753". Lineage: Eukaryota; Metazoa; Chordata; Mammalia; Rodentia; Muridae. The record is from RNAcentral.
UGCAACAGCACAUGUCACUUCCCACAA